RNAcentral lists this ribosomal RNA (987 nucleotides) under Halomonas caseinilytica. RNAcentral describes it as "bacterial SSU rRNA". It matches the Rfam family "Bacterial small subunit ribosomal RNA", at positions 56 to 1035 of the family's 1533-position model. The record is from RNAcentral. Lineage: Bacteria; Pseudomonadati; Pseudomonadota; Gammaproteobacteria; Oceanospirillales; Halomonadaceae.
UGCAGUCGAGCGGAAACGAUCCCAGCUUGCUGGGAGGCGUCGAGCGGCGGACGGGUGAGUAAUGCAUAGGAAUCUGCCCGAUAGUGGGGGAUAACCUGAGGAAACUCAGGCUAAUACCGCAUACGUCCUACGGGAGAAAGCAGGGGCUCUUCGGACCUUGCGCUAUCGGAUGAGCUUAUGUCGGAUUAGCUGGUUGGUGAGGUAAUGGCUCACCAAGGCGACGAUCCGUAGCUGGUCUGAGAGGAUGAUCAGCCACAUCGGGACUGAGACACGGCCCGAACUCCUACGGGAGGCAGCAGUGGGGAAUAUUGGACAAUGGGGGCAACCCUGAUCCAGCCAUGCCGCGUGUGUGAAGAAGGCCCUCGGGUUGUAAAGCACUUUCAGUGAGGAAGAAAGCUUGUCGGUUAAUACCCGGCAAGGACGACUUCACUCACAGAAGAAGCACCGGCUAACUCCGUGCCAGCAGCCGCGGUAAUACGGAGGGUGCGAGCGUUAAUCGGAAUUACUGGGCGUAAAGCGUGCGUAGGCGGCUUGAUAAGCCGGUUGUGAAAGCCCCGGGCUCAACCUGGGAACGGCAUCCGGAACUGUCAGGCUAGAGUGCAGGAGAGGAAGGUAGAAUUCCCGGUGUAGCGGUAAAAUGCGUAGAGAUCGGGAGGAAUACCAGUGGCGAAGGCGGCCUUCUGGACUGACACUGACGCUAAGGUACGAAAGCGUGGGUAGCAAACAGGAUUAGAUACCCUGGUAGUCCACGCCGUAGACGAUAUCGACUAGCCGUUGGGGUCCUCGAGACCUUUGUGGCGCAGUUAACGCACUAAGUCGACCGCCUGGGGAGUACGGCCGCAGGGUUAAAACUCAGAUGAAUUGACGGGGGCCCGCACAAGCGGUGGAGCAUGUGGUUUAAUUCGAUGCAACGCGAAAAACCUUACCUACCCUUGACAUCGUGCGAACUUGGUAGAGAUACCUUGGUGCCUUCGGGAGCGCACAGAC